Molecule: ribosomal RNA, 477 nt
Filed under: uncultured bacterium
Lineage: Bacteria
Description: bacterial SSU rRNA
Rfam family: Bacterial small subunit ribosomal RNA
Source: RNAcentral
AUGAACGCUAGCGCAGGCUUAACACAUGCAAGUCGAGGGGUAUAGGGAGCUUGCUUCCUAGAGACCGGCGCACGGGUGCGUAACGCGUAUGCAAUCUACCUUUUGCAGAGGGAUAGCCCAGAGAAAUUUGGAUUAAUACCUCAUAGUAUAGCAGUUUCGCAUGAAACCACUAUUAAAGUCACAACGGCAAAAGAUGAGCAUGCGUCCCAUUAGCUUGUUGGUAAGGUAACGGCUUACCAAGGCAACGAUGGGUAGGGGUCCUGAGAGGGAGAUCCCCCACACUGGUACUGAGACACGGACCAGACUCCUACGGGAGGCAGCAGUGAGGAAUAUUGGACAAUGGGCGCAAGCCUGAUCCAGCCAUGCCGCGUGCAGGAUGACGGUCCUAUGGAUUGUAAACUGCUUUAUACAGGAAGAAACACUCCGACGUGUCGGAGCUUGACGGUACUGUAAGAAUAAGGAUCGGCUAACUCCGUG